This 343-nucleotide ribosomal RNA is filed under the name Syngnathoides biaculeatus (alligator pipefish). Its description in RNAcentral is "partial 12S ribosomal RNA". It matches the Rfam family "Bacterial small subunit ribosomal RNA", at positions 875 to 1359 of the family's 1533-position model. The record is from RNAcentral. Lineage: Eukaryota; Metazoa; Chordata; Actinopteri; Syngnathiformes; Syngnathidae.
UGAUUCAUCUUACCCUUAAUCCGCCCGGGGACUACAAGUAUAAACUUAAAACCCAAAGGACUUGGCGGUGCUUUAGACCCACCUAGAGGAGCCUGUUCUAGAACUGAUAACCCCCGUUAAACCUCACCCUCCCUUGUUAUUCCCGCCUAUAUACCGCCGUCGUCAGCUUACCCUUUGAGGGCAUCAAAGUGAGCAUAAUUGGCACACCCCAAAACGUCAGGUCGAGGUGUAGUACAUGGGAGGGGAAGAAAUGGGCUACAUUCGUCCACCGACGAACAACGAAUGAUCUAUUGAAAUAUAGACCUAAAGGAGGAUUUAGUAGUAAAAGGAAAACAGAGUGUUC